UCCUCAAGUCAGCCUGGAAUUGGGCCUG
Molecule: non-coding RNA, 28 nt
Filed under: Homo sapiens (human)
Lineage: Eukaryota; Metazoa; Chordata; Mammalia; Primates; Hominidae
Source: RNAcentral